This 492-nucleotide ribosomal RNA is filed under the name uncultured bacterium. Its description in RNAcentral is "partial 16S ribosomal RNA". It matches the Rfam family "Bacterial small subunit ribosomal RNA", at positions 29 to 507 of the family's 1533-position model. The record is from RNAcentral.
AGUGAACGCUGGCGGUAGGCCUAACACAUGCAAGUCGAACGGCAGCACAGUAAGAGCUUGCUCUUACGGGUGGCGAGUGGCGGACGGGUGAGGAAUACAUCGGAAUCUACUUUUUCGUGGGGGAUAACGUAGGGAAACUUACGCUAAUACCGCAUACGACCUACGGGUGAAAGCAGGGGAUCUUCGGACCUUUCGCGAUUGAAUGAGCCGAUGUCGGAUUAGCUAGUUGGCGGGGUAAAGGCCCACCAAGGCGACGAUCCGUAGCUGGUCUGAGAGGAUGAUCGGCCACACUGGAACGGGGACACGGUCCAGACUCCUACGGGAGGCAGCAGUGGGGAAUAUUGGACAAUGGGCGCAAGCCUGAUCCAGCCAUACCGCGUAGGUGAAGAAGGCCUUCGGGUUGUAAAGCCCUUUUGUUGGGAAAGAAAAGCAGCAGGUUAAUACCCCGCUGUUCUGACGGUACCCAAAGAAUAAGCACCGGCUAACUUCGUG